This 468-nucleotide ribosomal RNA is filed under the name uncultured bacterium. Its description in RNAcentral is "partial 16S ribosomal RNA". It matches the Rfam family "Bacterial small subunit ribosomal RNA", at positions 28 to 507 of the family's 1533-position model. The record is from RNAcentral.
GACGAACGCUGGCGGCGUGCUUAACACAUGCAAGUCGAACGGAAAGGCCCUGCUUUUGUGGGGUGCUCGAGUGGCGAACGGGUGAGUAACACGUGAGUAACCUGCCCUUGACUUUGGGAUAACUUCAGGAAACUGGGGCUAAUACCGGAUAGGAGCUCCUGCUGCAUGGUGGGGGUUGGAAAGUUUCGGCGGUUGGGGAUGGACUCGCGGCUUAUCAGCUUGUUGGUGGGGUAGUGGCUUACCAAGGCUUUGACGGGUAGCCGGCCUGAGAGGGUGACCGGCCACAUUGGGACUGAGAUACGGCACAGAAUCCUACGGGAGGCAGCAGUGGGGAAUAUUGCACAAUGGGCGGAAGCCUGAUGCAGCAACGCCGCGUGCGGGAUGACGGCCUUCGGGUUGUAAACCGCUUUCGCCUGUGACGAAGCGUGAGUGACGGUAAUGGGUAAGGAAGCACCGGCUAACUACGUG